RNAcentral lists this ribosomal RNA (528 nucleotides) under uncultured bacterium. Its description in RNAcentral is "bacterial SSU rRNA". It matches the Rfam family "Bacterial small subunit ribosomal RNA", at positions 371 to 916 of the family's 1533-position model. The record is from RNAcentral.
AUGGACGCAAGUCUGAGGCAGCAACGCCGCGUGGGCGAUGAAGGCCUUCGGGUUGUAAAGCCCUUUUCUGGGGGACGAGAAAGGACGGUACCUCAGGAAUAAGUCACGGCUAACUACGUGCCAGCAGCCGCGGUAAUACGUAGGUGGCCAGCGUUAUCCGGAUUCACUGGGCGUAAAGCGCGUGCAGGCGGUUCCGUAAGUCGGACGUGAAAGCUCCUGGCUUAACUGGGAGAGGUCGUUCGAUACUGCGGGGCUUGAGGUCGGGAGAGGGACGUGGAAUUCCCGGUGUAGUGGUGGAAUGCGUAGAUAUCGGGAGGAACACCAGUGGCGAAGGCGGCGUCCUGGCCCGCACCUGACGCUAAGACGCGAAAGCGUGGGGAGCGAACGGGAUUAGAUACCCCGGUAGUCCACGCUGUAAACGGUGGAUACUAGGUGUUGGUGGCUAUCGUCAUCAGUGCCGUAGCUAACGCGUUAAGUAUCCCGCCUGGGGACUACGGCCGCAAGGCUAAAACUCAAAGGAAUUGACGG